Molecule: ribosomal RNA, 428 nt
Filed under: Acanthamoeba sp.
Lineage: Eukaryota; Discosea; Longamoebia; Acanthamoebidae
Description: bacterial SSU rRNA
Rfam family: Eukaryotic small subunit ribosomal RNA (bases 1-372)
Source: RNAcentral
AGCAUUCAUUUUCUGCCACCGAAUACAUUAGCAUGGGAUAAGGGAAUAGGACCCUGUCCUCCUUUUUUCAGUUGGUUCAUUCUUGAGAGAGGAACAGGGUAAUGAUUAAUAGGGAUAGUUGGGGGCAUUAAUUUUUAUUUGUCAGAGGUGAAAUUCUUGGAUUUAUGAAAUAUUAGCUUCUGCGAAACCCUCUGCCAAGGAUGUUUUCAUUAUUCAAAAACGAAAGUUGGGGGAUCAAAGACGAUCAGAUACCGUCGUAUUCUUAACCAUAAACGAUGCCCACCAGCAAUUAGGAGACGUUGAAAACCCAAAUCCCCUCUUUAUAUAAUUCAGUAUUCGUGAGCAGACAAAUGGUUGUGCAUUGUUUGAGUUACUAGUUUUCGGGGAAGGACCCCUAGCAUCUGGGACAAACUUUGGAAAAACUAUAA